RNAcentral lists this ribosomal RNA (465 nucleotides) under uncultured bacterium. RNAcentral's name for it is "partial 16S ribosomal RNA". It matches the Rfam family "Bacterial small subunit ribosomal RNA", at positions 28 to 507 of the family's 1533-position model. The record is from RNAcentral.
GACGAACGCUGGCGGCGUGCUUAACACAUGCAAGUCGAACGGAAAGGCCCUGCUUGCAGGGUACUCGAGUGGCGAACGGGUGAGUAACACGUGGGUGAUCUGCCCUGCACUUCGGGAUAAGCCUGGGAAACUGGGUCUAAUACCGGAUAGGAGCCAUUUUUAGUGUGUUGGUUGGAAAGUUUUUUCGGUGUAGGAUGAGCUCGCGGCCUAUCAGCUUGUUGGUGGGGUAAUGGCCUACCAAGGCGGCGACGGGUAGCCGGCCUGAGAGGGUGGACGGCCACAUUGGGACUGAGAUACGGCCCAGACUCCUACUGGAGGCAGCAGUGGGGAAUAUUGCACAAUGGGCGCAAGCCUGAUGCAGCGACGCCGCGUGGGGGAUGACGGCCUUCGGGUUGUAAACUCCUUUCGCUAGGGACGAAGCUUUUUGUGACGGUACCUAGAUAAGAAGCACCGGCUAACUACGUG